Molecule: long non-coding RNA, 427 nt
Organism: Saccostrea cuccullata (small rock oyster)
Lineage: Eukaryota; Metazoa; Mollusca; Bivalvia; Ostreida; Ostreidae
Exons: 4
Source: RefSeq, a predicted model, not a curated record
ACAACUUACGCCCAUGAUUGACUCUAAUUCUUCACAUAAACCAUGUUCUCUCUCCCAAAAAUCUUGGUUUCGCUAGGAGUGCAGUAAAGGGAAUGUUGGAAGAAGUGUAGAUAUCAUGGCCACAGACCAGUGGGCUUAAACCUUGAAGCCUGGCAAGGAUUAUGAGACUGGAAACUCCCAUUGAGACUACCAAAUGAAGAGAAAGUUUCAGACUGUUUAACUCGGACUAAGGGAAAAGAAGCAAAUUACAACAAGGAGAAUAUUGCCGAGAAAGCAAAGACAAGUGAAAAGUCGAGUGAAGAAAAAGCAAACAAGGCUUCACGAUCUGCAACUAGGCCACUGGCGAUGAAGAAGAAAAAUGUACAGCUAAAGAAGAUACAUCAGUGAUCAACUAAAGCUGGGUGACUUAUAUUGGAUUGACGAGGUG